This is a non-coding RNA of Podarcis lilfordi (Lilford's wall lizard), 111 nucleotides long. NCBI's taxonomy places the organism in Eukaryota, Metazoa, Chordata, Lepidosauria, Squamata, Lacertidae. The record is from the annotation of a GenBank genome assembly.
GAGAUCCCCCAUUCCCCUCACAGGGCUACAGUUCUCAGAGUUCCCCAUGCAAAGGGAUUGAUUGUUAAACUUAUCUGGAAAUUGUAGCUCUGUGGAGGGAAUAGGAGGCCU